UAUACAUGACUCUGCGCAUAUCAAUAAGCGGAGGAAAAGAAACUAACAAGGAUUCCCUUAGUAACGGCGAGUGAAGCGGGAAGAGCUCAAAUUUGAAAUCUUCAAGGUUCUACCUUGACGAAUUGUAGUUUAUAGAAGUGUUUUCUGUUAGUGGAGUGGCAAAAGUUCUUUGGAAUAGGACAUCAUAGAGGGUGAGAAUCCCGUAUUUGGUCAUUCUUCCUAGCGUUGUGAUACACUUUCAACGAGUCGGAUUGUUUGGGAAUGCAGUCCAAAAUGGGUGGUAAAUUUCAUCUAAAGCUAAAUAUUGGCGAGAGACCGAUAGCGAACAAGUACCGUGAGGGAAAGAUGAAAAGAACUUUGAAAAGAGAGUUAAACAGUACGUGAAAUUGUCAAAAGGGAAGCGUUUGACACCAGUGUUGUUUUUCCGAAAAUCAAUUACGAAUGUUUUAUUUUUGAGAAGUUAUGACUUCAUCGGCUUGCUUCUUUCUUUACGAAACUUUCUUAAUGCACUUUUCGGUUAACAAGUCAACAUCAAUUUCUUUUGUUGUAAAAGGGUACGAGGAAGGUGGCUUUCUUUUCGGAGAAAGUGUUUAUAGCCUUGUACCUCUGCAAUCGGAGAGAUUGAGGUCUGCAGCGUAGAUCCUUCGGGGUUAGAUACAUUUGUGCUAAGUUAUAGCUUUCAUAGACAACUUGUUGACUAUGAUUAAGUCAUUGUAGCUUACUCGCUUAUGCUAUUUUACCUACGCUUAGGAUGUUGAUAGUCACAGCGUGUAC
This 774-nucleotide ribosomal RNA is filed under the name uncultured Neocallimastigales. RNAcentral's name for it is "partial large subunit ribosomal RNA". It matches the Rfam family "Eukaryotic large subunit ribosomal RNA", at positions 22 to 644 of the family's 3401-position model. Lineage: Eukaryota; Fungi; Neocallimastigomycota; Neocallimastigomycetes; Neocallimastigales. The record is from RNAcentral.